Molecule: transfer RNA, 106 nt
Filed under: Colletotrichum lupini
Lineage: Eukaryota; Fungi; Ascomycota; Sordariomycetes; Glomerellales; Glomerellaceae
Rfam family: tRNA
About the family: Transfer RNA (tRNA) molecules are approximately 80 nucleotides in length. Their secondary structure includes four short double-helical elements and three loops (D, anti-codon, and T loops).
Source: Rfam by way of RNAcentral
GGUCUGGUGGUGUAGUUGGUUAUCACGUCAGUCUAACAGUACGAGAGCCUUGUGUCUCUCCACUCUGCCACACUGAAGGUCUCCGGUUCAAGUCCGGGCUAGAUCA